This 899-nucleotide ribosomal RNA is filed under the name Lactiplantibacillus plantarum. RNAcentral's name for it is "bacterial SSU rRNA". It matches the Rfam family "Bacterial small subunit ribosomal RNA", at positions 89 to 1016 of the family's 1533-position model. The record is from RNAcentral. Lineage: Bacteria; Bacillati; Bacillota; Bacilli; Lactobacillales; Lactobacillaceae.
GAGUGAGUGGCGAACUGGUGAGUAACACGUGGGAAACCUGCCCAGAAGCGGGGGAUAACACCUGGAAACAGAUGCUAAUACCGCAUAACAACUUGGACCGCAUGGUCCGAGUUUGAAAGAUGGCUUCGGCUAUCACUUUUGGAUGGUCCCGCGGCGUAUUAGCUAGAUGGUGGGGUAACGGCUCACCAUGGCAAUGAUACGUAGCCGACCUGAGAGGGUAAUCGGCCACAUUGGGACUGAGACACGGCCCAAACUCCUACGGGAGGCAGCAGUAGGGAAUCUUCCACAAUGGACGAAAGUCUGAUGGAGCAACGCCGCGUGAGUGAAGAAGGGUUUCGGCUCGUAAAACUCUGUUGUUAAAGAAGAACAUAUCUGAGAGUAACUGUUCAGGUAUUGACGGUAUUUAACCAGAAAGCCACGGCUAACUACGUGCCAGCAGCCGCGGUAAUACGUAGGUGGCAAGCGUUGUCCGGAUUUAUUGGGCGUAAAGCGAGCGCAGGCGGUUUUUUAAGUCUGAUGUGAAAGCCUUCGGCUCAACCGAAGAAGUGCAUCGGAAACUGGGAAACUUGAGUGCAGAAGAGGACAGUGGAACUCCAUGUGUAGCGGUGAAAUGCGUAGAUAUAUGGAAGAACACCAGUGGCGAAAGCGGCUGUCUGGUCUGUAACUGACGCUGAGGCUCGAAAGUAUGGGUAGCAACAGGAUUAGAUACCCUGGUAGUCCAUACGUAACGAUGAUGCUAGUGUGAGGGUUUCGUCCUCAGUGCUGCAGCUACGCAUAGCAUCGCCUGGGAGUACGCGCAGCUGAAACUCAAGAAUGACGGGCGGACAGCGGUGGAGCAGUGUAAUCGAGCUACCGAGACCUUACAGUCUGACUACUAUGCCAAUCUAAGGGUUUGCGGG